RNAcentral lists this ribosomal RNA (500 nucleotides) under uncultured bacterium. RNAcentral's name for it is "partial 16S ribosomal RNA". It matches the Rfam family "Bacterial small subunit ribosomal RNA", at positions 30 to 523 of the family's 1533-position model. The record is from RNAcentral.
AUUGAACGCUGGCGGAAUGCUUUACACAUGCAAGUCGAACGGCAGCACGGACUUCGGUCUGGUGGCGAGUGGCGAACGGGUGAGUAAUGUAUCGGAACGUGCCCAGUCGUGGGGGAUAACGUAGUGAAAAUUACGCUAAUACCGCAUACGAUCUAAGGAUGAAAGCGGGGGAUCGCAAGACCUCGCGCGAUUGGAGCGGCCGAUAUCAGAUUAGGUAGUUGGUGGGGUAAAGGCUCACCAAGCCAACGACCUGUAGCUGGUCUGAGAGGACGACCAGCCACACUGGAACUGAGACACGGUCCAGACCCCUACGGGAGGCAGCAGUGGGGAAUUUUGGACAAUGGACGCAAGCCUGAUCCAGCCAUUCCGCGUGCAGGAUGAAGGCCCUCGGGUUGUAAACUGCUUUUGUACAGAACGAAAAGGUUUCUACUAAUACUAGGAGCUCAUGACGGUACUGUAAGAAUAAGCACCGGCUAACUACGUGCCAGCCGCCGCCGUAA